Ciona intestinalis (vase tunicate) is the source of this 933-nucleotide non-coding RNA. NCBI's taxonomy places the organism in Eukaryota, Metazoa, Chordata, Ascidiacea, Phlebobranchia, Cionidae. The record is from RefSeq and is a predicted model, not a curated record.
UGCGCCAAUAUGACAGGCUGAUGUGAACAUAAUUCCGACCGUGUCAGACCGUUAGAGGAUGUAAAUUACUAGUGAAUACAGAGAACCCGUGAUAAGAGGGAACAGCUCUAAAGUUACCAAGAGAGCAGAGCUCCAAUAACGGCCGCGUAAUUAAUUUUCGAAGGGGACAACUUUCAAAUGUAUAGAGAAGUGGGGCGGGUUAAUGAUCAUAGGCAGACCCCUACAGGACACAAAUAUCAACGCUACAGAUUUAAAUGAAUACGUGUUGACAACAAGGAAGCAGAGCAAUAGUGAAAGUCUUACAACCGUGAGUUAUUACGUGUUUAACAAAAUUUAGUGGUUACUUUCCUAUCACGGCCAGAAAUAUUGGUAUUUUGAUGAUUUUGUUAUUUCUUUUUUAAAGAAUUAUGCAGUGCACCACUGUCACUUGCUGUUUUUUGAAAUUCCAAAUUGAUAGUAAAUGGGUUCAACAGUACACCUAGCGGACAGUUAACAUUGUAAACUACACACGCAAGGUGACGCAAAACAGCAUAACACGGCUUUCCAGCCAAUUGCUCAUCAGCACACAAACUAAAUCGUUUACUAUUGACAGAAGAUGUGCAGUUAGUCAUACGAAUGAGUAACUUGAACAACUUAUAUAGAGCGUUCUAUUAGCAGACCUGAUCUGUAUGAGCAAUAUAAAUUACGCAGUUUUGUUGCAAAUUUAUUUAAAGUCCAAUUAUUUUGGGAAAUAUUUCAGCAACAGUUAAAGGUGUUUAAGAAACAUCAUAAACAAUCAUCAAUAAAAACACAAGUGCUAACGUAACUUAUUAUGUUAAAAUAAUGGUAAGUUGAAUAAACAUCCAAAAAACAUAAAAUCAAACUCAUUUUAGUUCUAUUCACGAGAUAUGUGAUGGAAAGGUUUAAACUACUAUUUUAAAGAAAAAGCAAAAA